AGCGAACGCUGGCGGCAUGCUUAACACAUGCAAGUCGAACGAACUCUUCGGAGUUAGUGGCGGACGGGUGAGUAACACGUGGGAACGUGCCUUUUGGUUCGGAAUAACUCAGGGAAACUUGUGCUAAUACCGAAUGUGCCCUUCGGGGGAAAGAUUUAUCGCCAUUAGAGCGGGCCGCGUCUGAUUAGCUAGUUGGUGAGGUAACGGCUCACCAAGGCGACGAUCAGUAGCUGGUCGGAGAGGAUGACCAGUCGCACUGGGACUGCGACACGGCCCAGACUCCGACGGGAGGCAGCAGUGGGGAAUCUUGCGGAAUGAGCGAAAGCCUGACGACGCCAUGCCGGGUGAAUGAUGAAGGUCUUAGGAUUGUAAAAUUCUUUGACCGGAGACGAUAAUGACGGUACCCGGAGAAGAAGCACCGGCUAACUUCGUG
RNAcentral lists this ribosomal RNA (433 nucleotides) under uncultured bacterium. Its description in RNAcentral is "partial 16S ribosomal RNA". It matches the Rfam family "Bacterial small subunit ribosomal RNA", at positions 29 to 507 of the family's 1533-position model. The record is from RNAcentral.